UCUGAUAAGUGUUCCUUUUAUUGCAGUUAGUUAUACCUGUUUUUUAUAAUAGUCAUAGUUUUUAGGUAGAGAAUACCUAGGUUUAUUACCAGUGUAUCACCUUCAGUUGCGUCUGCGAUCUCAGAAAAUGAUCAAAAUAUUAUUUCACCAUCACGGCAUUCAGAAACAAGUAAAGAGAAAGCCAUAGGGAUGUGCUUUUAACUCUGCCUUAUCCAAGGUAAGACAAAGUAAAGGUGCAGGACAGGCCUGGUAACCACCACCCCAGGAGCUGUGAUUGGUUUUAAUGAGGCACAGAACAACUGUGAUUGGUUUUCAUGAGGCACAGAACAAUAACAUUGAUCAUUUCAACAGUGCAGUUUCAAGUAACAGUGUGAACUUGAGCCCUUUCGAGUAAGCAUGUCUCAAAAACCAUUCUGCUAGAAACGUGGGCUAGUGUACAAUUGUCUUUGAUUCCAACUGUGAUCACAAAAGAAAGAGAUUCACCCUAAAAAGGCCAAUGAGAUUGAUGAUGUAAUAAAAGUGCAUUGUGCUAUAGAAAAAGGUAUCUGAAAAGCGUGCAGGUCAGGUAAAAUCCAAUAGGUGUUGACUGAACAGACUGGAGAUAUAUCCAGGGAAAGGAAAUGACCAUGUGAGACUUUACUCAUGAACUGUUACAGCAGAAGUUAGAAAAAAAGGGCAAAAGUUUCCCUCCGGGGUUUUGAAAGCUUCAGUUCAAAUUUUUGAGUUUUCCUAGUGAAUGUCAUCCAUAUCUGAAUCUUGAUUCAGAAUAGAUAAAUUAGUCAUUAUUAUUGAUAGCUUUUCAUGAUGCCUAUAUCUUUUCUUUAAAACUUAAAAGAUUUGCCUAAAAUAGUUUAAAACUGUUGAGCCACAGCCC
This 874-nucleotide long non-coding RNA is filed under the name Bos taurus (domestic cattle). Its description in RNAcentral is "long non-coding RNA NONBTAT007076". Lineage: Eukaryota; Metazoa; Chordata; Mammalia; Artiodactyla; Bovidae. The record is from RNAcentral.